CUAUGCGCCUUGCCAGCCCGCUCAGGUGUGCCAGCCGCCGCGGUAAUACGGAGGAUGCGAGCGUUAUCCGGAUUAUUGGGUUUAAAGGGUGCGUAGGCGGUCCGUUAAGUCAGCGGUAAAAUUGCGGGCUCAACCCCGUCGAGCCGUUGAAACUGUCAGACUUGAGUUGGCGAGAAGUACGCGGAAUGCGCGGUGUAGCGGUGAAAUGCAUAGAUAUCGCGCAGAACUCCGAUUGCGAAGGCAGCGUACCGGCGCCACACUGACGCUGAGGCACGAAAGCGUGGGGAUCGAACAGG
This 296-nucleotide ribosomal RNA is filed under the name uncultured bacterium. Its description in RNAcentral is "partial 16S ribosomal RNA". It matches the Rfam family "Bacterial small subunit ribosomal RNA", at positions 475 to 776 of the family's 1533-position model. The record is from RNAcentral.